This 182-nucleotide ribosomal RNA is filed under the name Squaliolus aliae (smalleye pygmy shark). RNAcentral describes it as "partial 12S ribosomal RNA". The record is from RNAcentral. Lineage: Eukaryota; Metazoa; Chordata; Chondrichthyes; Squaliformes; Dalatiidae.
CACCGCGGUUAUACGAGUAACCCUUAUUAACACUCUACCGGCGUAAAGAGUGGUUUAAGAACUUUCCCCCGAACUAAAGUUGAGACCCUAUUAAGCUGUUAUACGCUCUCAUGGGUGGAAUCACCAACAACGAAAGUAACUUUACAACACCGGAAAACCUUGACCCCACGACAGUUGAGCCC